GGUGGAGCGAUUUGUCUGGUUAAUUCCGAUAACGAACGAGACUCUGGCCUAUUAAAUAGACGAGAUAUUACUCAGUAUCUCGCGCUUCUUAGAGGGACAAGCGGCGUCUAGUCGCAUGAAAAAGAGCAAUAACAGGUCUGUGAUGCCCUUAGAUGUCCGGGGCUGCACGCGCGCUACACUGAAAGAAUCAGUGGGCGUUUUACCUGGUUCGGAAGAACCGGGUAACCCAAGUAAUUUCUUUCGUGCUUGGGAUAGGGAAUUGCAAUUAUUUCCCUUAAACGAGGAAUUCCCAGUAAACGCGGGUCAUAAGCUCGUGUUGAAUACGUCCCUGCCCUUUGUAC
RNAcentral lists this ribosomal RNA (341 nucleotides) under Nematoda environmental sample. Its description in RNAcentral is "SSU rRNA". It matches the Rfam family "Eukaryotic small subunit ribosomal RNA", at positions 1300 to 1665 of the family's 1831-position model. Lineage: Eukaryota; Metazoa; Nematoda. The record is from RNAcentral.